Transfer RNA from Glarea lozoyensis 74030, 103 nucleotides. It matches the Rfam family "tRNA". Rfam says of the family: Transfer RNA (tRNA) molecules are approximately 80 nucleotides in length. Their secondary structure includes four short double-helical elements and three loops (D, anti-codon, and T loops). Further hydrogen bonds mediate the characteristic L-shaped molecular structure. tRNAs have two regions of fundamental functional importance: the anti-codon, which is responsible for specific mRNA codon recognition, and the 3' end, to which the tRNAs corresponding amino acid is attached (by aminoacyl-tRNA synthetases). tRNAs cope with the degeneracy of the genetic code in two manners: having more than one tRNA (with a specific anti-codon) for a particular amino acid; and 'wobble' base-pairing, i.e. permitting non-standard base-pairing at the 3rd anti-codon position. The record is from Rfam. NCBI's taxonomy places the organism in Eukaryota, Fungi, Ascomycota, Leotiomycetes, Helotiales, Helotiaceae.
GGGGGUGUAACUCAGUGGUAGAGUGCCUGCUUUGCAUUGUCUGUUCUGAACAGUAUCCAUCUAUGAUUGCAUGAAGCCCGGGGUUCGAUCCCCCGCUCCUCCA